RNAcentral lists this unclassified non-coding RNA (1558 nucleotides) under Helicoverpa zea (corn earworm). RNAcentral describes it as "bilin-binding protein-like, transcript variant X1". Lineage: Eukaryota; Metazoa; Arthropoda; Insecta; Lepidoptera; Noctuidae. The record is from RNAcentral.
GCAUACUCACAGACGCCAGUUUAUCUCUCACUACCGUCCACGAGAGGCGUUCACGACUUAAUUUUUAUACCAAAAAAUAUUUUUUGUAAAUCUCAAAAUGUUCAGAUUCUUGAUUCUUGCGUUUGUUGCGACGGCGUUCGCUGACACUCAUGAUGGACCCUGCCCUGAGGUCAAGCCGGUUGAAAACUUCAACUUAACUGCUUACCAAGGCGUCUGGUAUGAAAUUUCAAAGCUACCCAUCGCGUCAGAAGGCAAAGGCAAGUGCGGCCAGGCUGAAUACACCCUGAAUGGUGACGAGGUCAAGGUCAAAAACUCACACGUCCUUGAUGGAGAGCAGAAGUUUAUUGAGGGCACCGCUAAGUUUGCCGCUGAUGCCAACAACGCUGCCAAGCUCCUCGUGUCCUUCAAAUUCGGAGAAUUCGUAUCCGAGUCUGGUCUGCAGAUCCUGACGACUGACUACCACAGCUACUCUAUUGCUUACAACUGCAAGUACGACGAGAAGACCAAGACUCACAAUGAGCAAGCCUGGAUUCUCUCAAGGUCCAAAUCCUUGGAGGGCGAAGCCAAGACCACCGUUGACGCGUUCCUGAAGGAACAUUCCAAGGUCAUUGACUCCACCAAACUGGUUAAAACUGAUUUCUCCGAAGAGGCCUGCAAGUUCACCGGCUCCAGCGUCAUGACAGAACAAACUGCCAAGCCUUGAAUUUUUGAAUUUCGAAGAUCAAUUUAAAAUAGGAACGCAAAGCUAUGGUGAUAUGAACCUUGUUUUUGAACACCAGUACUGAUUCUUUUUGAUUGUAGACUUUCGGCUGUUUUCAAUAUUCUGUCUAUCGUUUGAUUAUGCUUACUAGGGAUAGAAUUUACACCAUUUACCCAUACAGGUAAUGUCAAAUUCCUAUCUUUAGUAAGCAAAUCCGCGGAUAUGUAGUUGGGAACGGACCUUGUUUUCUAUGUAGUUGAUCUUAAUAUGUAUUGUAGUAACUUAUGUUUAUUUUGUUGAAAUUGUGAGUAUUGAUGUUUGAAGUUAAGGUUCUUCUUCUGCAAAAUUGUUUUGACGUCAAGUUUAAGAGAAUUUGAUGAUGCGAAAUGCUCUCGAAUAUUUUUUACAGAUAGUGCAAAAUAAUUGCAAAAUAUGAAUACAUCUUCAGAUUUUCUAUAAUUUGACGUUAAAUUAGAUUCAGCUUUUGAAAAUAUUACGAAAUAAUAAUGAGUGUAAUGUUUUUAAAUUCAAACACCUUUCGUUCAUAGCGAUGUAUAUAGAAAAUUCUAAUAUUUUAGUCCUUAAGAUUGAUUGAUGAACUAAUUCCAAAUAAUUAGUGUGUAUCAAUGUAAUCCAUAAAAAACUGUCAUUUUUCUAUAAAAAAUGUGAAAUAAUUGACAAUACAUAGCUAUAUCUGCUUAAUCCAAAGUUGUUUUUAAAUAUUUAUUCUGAUAACAAUCACUAAUACUUAUUUUAAUCACCAGUUAAUCUCUAAUCACCAAUAAUACCAUUGUAAUAAAAAUAUAGUACGGAACAUAGCUUAGGACUAUUUAUUGGAUAAUAAACUUUUCUACGAAA